This 253-nucleotide ribosomal RNA is filed under the name uncultured bacterium. Its description in RNAcentral is "partial 16S ribosomal RNA". It matches the Rfam family "Bacterial small subunit ribosomal RNA", at positions 524 to 776 of the family's 1533-position model. The record is from RNAcentral.
UACGUAGGGUGCAAGCGUUAAUCGGAAUUACUAGGCGUAAAGCGUGCGCAGGCGGUUUUGUAAGACAGAGGUGAAAUCCCCGGGCUCAACCUGGGAACUGCCUUUGUGACUGCAAGGCUUGAGUGCGGCAGAGGGGGAUGGAAUUCCGCGUGUAGCAGUGAAAUGCGUAGAUAUGCGGAGGAACACCGAUGGCGAAGGCAAUCCCCUGGGCCUGCACUGACGCUCAUGCACGAAAGCGUGGGGAGCAAACAGG